Lolium rigidum is the source of this 3547-nucleotide long non-coding RNA. RefSeq lists it as uncharacterized. The record is from RefSeq and is a predicted model, not a curated record. Lineage: Eukaryota; Viridiplantae; Streptophyta; Magnoliopsida; Poales; Poaceae. The transcript has 6 exons.
UCACGACCCCUUCCAAGUGAAGACCUUCCGUCGCCCACCGCCGCCGCCUCCUACCGCACACACCUCGCCGGCGAUGGCCAUCGGCUCCGUUGGAUUCCCAACGUUCCCUGUAUCCACCAUGCACCCGCUGUCCGCGUCUGCGUAGGCCCUAGCUCUGGUUCAAUUUCAGCAUCCAGAUCCGACGCCAUGGAGGACGACGCCACCUCUGUCCAUCACCCAACCACCACAUCGGAUAGAGGGUGAGGAGUUCGAGGACGAGGCGACGAGGAUUUGCGCCGGCGACCUAGGCCACGAGGACCGCGACCCCCCCACUUCUACCAUCCUCCCAGCAGUAGGUCGCAACAAUGCUCCUCACGGCACGGCCAACCAGCCCAUCGAUGUUGUCUCGAACAUCCGCUGGUACGCUGUGCCCCUAUCCGUCCGCAUCGCCACCGACGAGGAGGAUUGUUGCGACCUGAGCCUAAUCCACCUGGUUCGGCCGUCAAUCUCUACUUCCUGUUGGUCCUCCUCCUCCCCCGCCUGUUGCACCCUGUGGGACCCGAUGUGGAUGAUGUCCGCCACCAUGUCAUGCUCGGCUGCCUCAGUCGGAGACUAAGAAAGCUACGGUGGCCCUCCACUUUUCCUCCGGCAACCAUGCACUGUGAUGAUGUUCUGUUCCACCUCGCCUCCCCUGCCAUGUGGACUGCCUCCUUGAUUCCCAGGUACUGCCCCAUCUGCUCUCUUUCCAUAGUUAUGUGGUAAUAUGUUUGUAGUUUAGUUGAUGAUUGAUGCGCAUAGAAGGGUAAGAGGAGUCAAGGAGAAAAUGAAGUCAUUGCAUAGAGCUUCAUAACGAUUUCCAACUGGUCUGUUGCAUCUUCUCUGCAGUUUCCGAUGUUUCAUGUCUGAAUAGCCUAUGAUUUCUAUAGCUGUUUAUUGCUGAUUUCUUUACUGAUUUAAGCUAACAAUUCUCAUGAUAUUUGUGAUUCAGCAGGACCUAUCUUUUCCACAUACUUUCUAUGUUUCAUGAGAUUUGGCGAUUCAGUUAUAAGCCUGGUACUUUGAAAAAUGCACAGAACAGCCAUGGUGAUGUGCCAUUUUGGUUUAUUGAGAAUUUCAUGCAGUGGAUGGCAUGUCACCACGUUCUUCUCUCCUGGACCCUUUGUCCUUGGGCUGCAAGCUCCUGCGACACGGAUGUCGCCUUCAGGCUUCACAGGAAGCACAACAAAAGGAAAGAUGGUUUUUAGAAAAACAGGGGGGCCAAAUUUCCCCCAGCCCCAUUUUAUUGGAAAUGAAGCCAGGGUAAAACAGUGUACCAUGCGAGUAAGUUCAGAAUGUAAACUCCUAGCUAAUUAACUACACUACUUAUUACAACUUCUACCCAGGAUUACCCAACAUUCCAGAUGGUUUCGAUUUGAUUAUUUCAUCAACCACUUAAACAAGAUGUGUGGAGAUGUCACCAAGGUCAUCUUCUCUGCACACCCUGAGCAGCACCAACACGUCAAGUAUGCCUAGACAAAGGGCAGUCGCACUGGUUGGGUGCAGAUUUUACAAGUGUCUGGGAUUCUUGCUCUUCUCACAGGUUGUACGCCAUGCAGCUUGUGGAAUAGUGUCAAGUCUCAUAGUAGUGCUACUCCAUAUAUGAAAACUUCAGUCUCCUAAUCGCACAUACCAUGCUGUCCGAUGCGUUUCCAAGCCUGCGAUGCAGCAGUGCAAGCAACAAGCAUGGUCUCUGUGAGUUUUCUAUAGAAGGUUUCUGGAUUUUCUUAUUGGGCAAGAUUCUAUGAACAUCUAUAUACCAACUGUUAAUAAGUCUUAAUGUUACCACCCCCUUGAUUUGCACUCGUUUGUGACAUUUGUUCGCUUAAUUGAUGUACAGGGCAUUGAGUUGGAGCACACUGAUGCUGCACUUAAAUGUUCUAUGCACUCAGUCAACUAUGCAACUUUCCUUUUUAUAAAGUUGGUGGACUGAGUGAAGCAACAGAUAGGCACAAGAAGAAGAGGUGCAAUACCUUUCAUUUGAUAGUGGUUUAACUUUUUUCCUCGUGAGGCAUGGGAACUUAGAACCUCUAAAUUAAAUGUGGUCGUUUAUGCUUUUGCAACACCUCUCUAAUUUCCUAUCAUGCUAAAAAAAUGCUAUCUGCCAAAACAGUUAAUAUUCUUCCUGAAGGCAAUCUAAUACGAAAGCUGAUACACAUUGGAAGUAGUAGUCUGAAGGAAUCAAAAGUUACUAUUGGGCAAGAAAAGGUAGCCAGCGAUUUACAAAGGUUCUUGGCAUGCCUGAAAUUUAUGCGGCUACCAAAAGUAUAAAGAACAAUAUAAGCUGCUAGGAAUUAGUGGCGGCAAUUUUUCUCCUUUUAUAGAUGGUGUGUCUUGUUCUUCGUUUCUAGGUUCCUAGGAUGUUAUAUGAGCUAUUUUGUCCCUUGUAGCAUGUCUCCCUCAAAGCCGCUGCUCCCUGAAUUGAUGAGAAUUUUUAAACCAUCAUGUUGCACGCAAUCAUAUUGUUACUUUAAUCUAUCAGUGUUCCAUGGAAAUCAAAAUCAGCAGUCUUAUGUACAGGAGAAGGAACCUAUCACCCUAGGCAAGCUGGGUAAAAUAUAAUCUUCUUGUGCUAUUCUCUGUGUUGUUUCCAAUGAUAAUGGUUCAGCUUGACAAACUAUAUUUGUUACUAGAAAUGAUUAUUACCUACAACAUUGGUCUGCAUUAGCUGAAAUUUAUUCGUGCCAGUGAAAGGGUGAUUUUUUUUGGUUGACUUAGCUUUUGUGAACUCCUUUUUAUUUCUUACAUUUCUAGGUGAAUAUGAUGGAAAUGCUUUAGAGAUAGGUAGCCAAUGCAAACUGGAGUAUGAUGGCGCCUAGCUAGAACACCCAAGCACAUUUCAUCAACAUCAGUGUACGUUUGAUGAACUUAUAUGCUCAAGACCAUAUAAGCAUAUCCAUAUGAGACUGAGUCUGAACUCACAGAAGCUUAGCAACUCUCCUUCUAUGCUUAGCAAGUCGCAUAUUAUUACAUUGAAGCGGGUACUACCUUCUGUUGCUCUGGGUUUUUUAAAAUAUUUGCAAUGAUACUUCCCUCUUUUAUGAUUCAUUCAUCCAUUUUGAUCCAGUGAUUAGGUUUUAAGUUGCGUGAUGUGGUUGAUGUGGAUGCAGGAUUAAAUGAAACUCUCAGGUUGCCAAAAAAAAAAGAGAAGGUUCUCCUCCAUGUUUGAGAGAUUGACCAUGAUGGCAUCAUCCAUAAGGCGCCAGACUGCAACUUUUUCUUGCCUGAGAAAAUGCAGAGCCGCUGAUGUAAAAUCCAGGGAUGGUGUUGGUGCAUGCCGAGGACGCUGGUGUCGCCUUUGUUUUUCUGGCAUAUGCUUGUGUCAAUGUGAAUAAUCUCUUAUUUCUUUUCUUCAAUAUUUAUAAUAUGAUAUAAUCAUUUUAGGGUAUAAGAGGCAGACCUUGCUCGGACUUGGUAGAGCAAACAUCUUCUAAAUAUACACGUAGAUCUUUUCUCCAAGUGAUGUACAGUUUUAUUAUGAUUUUCCUUAAACAAAUUAUAGUAAUAAUAUGGGGUACUCCCUUUUAAUUCA